This 253-nucleotide ribosomal RNA is filed under the name uncultured Parabacteroides sp. RNAcentral's name for it is "partial 16S ribosomal RNA". It matches the Rfam family "Bacterial small subunit ribosomal RNA", at positions 524 to 776 of the family's 1533-position model. Lineage: Bacteria; Pseudomonadati; Bacteroidota; Bacteroidia; Bacteroidales; Tannerellaceae. The record is from RNAcentral.
UACGGAGGAUGCGAGCGUUAUCCGGAUUUAUUGGGUUUAAAGGGUGCGUAGGCGGCCUUUUAAGUCAGCGGUGAAAGUCUGUGGCUCAACCAUAGAAUUGCCGUUGAAACUGGGGGGCUUGAGUAUGUUUGAGGCAGGCGGAAUGCGUGGUGUAGCGGUGAAAUGCUUAGAUAUUGCGCAGAACUCCGAUUGCGAAGGCAGCAUACCGGCGGCGAUCUGACGCUGAGGCACGAAAGCGUGGGUAUCGAACAGG